CCCAGAACUCCAUUAUCCCUCAGAGGAUGGGAGCUCAUCAAACACACAUCAGAUAGGAGACAAUCUGUUAACCAGAGAUGGCCCCAGUGAAGACUGCCUAUCUCAGAGAUGGCUUCACUCUUCUCUGCUCAAGGUGCAAUGUGACUACUCCCUCAAGCUCCUGAUGCCAUGACUUCCACAUCAUGAUAGCCUGUAUCCUUGAACUGUGGACAGAGACAAAAUCCAAACCAAACAUGGCAUUUUCUGAGAAUCUUGCAUUUCUCAUUCUGUGGACAAAAUAGAAGUAUGCAUUUGCCACAGUGUGCAUGUGGAGGCCAAAGGACAAUUCACAGCUUGUACAGUGUCUUCCAUCACCAAGGAAGCUCACCAGCAGGGAGAGAAUUUGUCGGCCAGUUUGUUUUACGUACUAGGUUCAGCUUCAGAGACAUCCGGAUUUAAAGCCAUAAGAUGGGAGGGUCUCUGGGGACAGAGAUGAGUUUCUCAAGAAGAGAGGAGAUGGUGGCACCUGAGACUGUGUCCUGACCUCUCAACCAGAGGCAAGCAUGCUGUAAUUAAGGUUUGUCAUAUUUAUGCAAAGCUUCUCUAACACACAGAAAGAUGUGCUUAAAGUUCUACAACCAUGGGUCUAUAACCACCAAUAUUUUAAUGUGAAAUUUAGCUCCUCAGCCUUGUGCGUGUGAAGCCUUGCUUCCUGGAUGAUGGUGUUAUUCUGCAAGGCUGGGAAACAUUUAGGAGGACAGACUCUACUGGAGGAAGUGGGUCAGAAAAUGUGUGAAGCCUUGAAUCUUUUAGACCAUCUUUGCCUCUUAUAUGUUAUCUGCUUCUUGAAACACCCAGAUGUAAGCAAGUAGACACAGGUUCCUGCUACUACAGUCCCAAGCCAUCCCUUCCCUGCCAUGGUAGACUGAUAUGUAUUUUGCCUUAAACCGUAUGUAAUACCUUCCUCCUUUAUGGUGUUCCAUUGUCACAGCAUUAAGAGAGGUGAUGAGUACCCGGGCAUUGCUGGCGCAAGCUUUUAACCCAGCACUCUGGAGACAGAGAUAGACAGAUCUCUGUGAGUUCAAGCCCAGCCUUGUC
Cricetulus griseus (Chinese hamster) is the source of this 1077-nucleotide non-coding RNA. Lineage: Eukaryota; Metazoa; Chordata; Mammalia; Rodentia; Cricetidae. The record is from RefSeq and is a predicted model, not a curated record.